This 365-nucleotide ribosomal RNA is filed under the name uncultured bacterium. Its description in RNAcentral is "bacterial SSU rRNA". It matches the Rfam family "Bacterial small subunit ribosomal RNA", at positions 29 to 421 of the family's 1533-position model. The record is from RNAcentral.
AACGAACGCUGGCGGCAGGCCUAACACAUGCAAGUCGAACGCGUGUAGCAAUACACGAGUGGCGCACGGGUGAGUAAUACGUGGGAACCAACCCUGAGGUUCGGAAUAACUGCGGGAAACUGCAGCUAAUACCGGAUGAUCCCCAAGGGGCAAAGAUUUAUCGCCUUGGGACGGGCCCACGUCCGAUUAGCUAGUUGGUGAGGUAACGGCUCACCAAGGCGACGAUCGGUAGCUGGCUGAGAGGAUGAUCAGCCACACUGGAACUGAGAUACGGUCCAGACUCCUACGGGAGGCAGCAGUGGGGAUAUUGGGCAAUGGAGGCAACUCUGACCCAGCCAUGCCGCGUGGGUGACGAAGGUCUUCGG